GAUGAACGCUGGCGGCGUGCCUAAUACAUGCAAGUCGAGCGAACAGACGAUGAGCUUGCUCCUCUGCCGUUAGCGGCUGACGGGUGAGUAACACGUGGAUAACCUACCUCUAAGACUUGGAUAACUUCGUGAAACCGCAGCUACUACCGGCUCAUAUAUCCAACCGCAUAGUUCAAUAGUUCAUGACGGUUUUCCUGUCACUUUUAGCUGGUUCCGCGCUGCAUUGUCUAGUUGGUAAGGUAACGGCUUAACAACGCAACGAUGCGUAUCCGAGCUGAUAGGGAGAACGGCCAAACUGGAAAUGAGACACGGUCCAGACUCCUAAGGGAGGCAGCAGUAGGGAAUCUUCCGCAAAGGGCGAAAGCCUGACGGAGCAAAGACGCGUGAGUGAUGAAAGUCUUCGGAGCUGAAAACUCUGUUAGUAGGGAAGAAAAAAUGUGUAAGUAACUAUGCACGGCUUGACGGUACCUAAUCAGAAAGCCACGGCUAACUACGUG
This 497-nucleotide ribosomal RNA is filed under the name uncultured bacterium. RNAcentral's name for it is "partial 16S ribosomal RNA". It matches the Rfam family "Bacterial small subunit ribosomal RNA", at positions 28 to 507 of the family's 1533-position model. The record is from RNAcentral.